Aotus nancymaae (Ma's night monkey) is the source of this 265-nucleotide unclassified non-coding RNA. It matches the Rfam family "Metazoan signal recognition particle RNA". Rfam says of the family: The signal recognition particle (SRP) is a universally conserved ribonucleoprotein. It is involved in the co-translational targeting of proteins to membranes. NCBI's taxonomy places the organism in Eukaryota, Metazoa, Chordata, Mammalia, Primates, Aotidae. The record is from Ensembl.
GCUGGGAGUGAUGGCUCACACCUGUCAUCUCAGCACUUUGGAAGGCUGAGGUGGGUGGAUUGCUUGAGCUCAGGAUUUCGAGGCCAGCCUGGGUAACAUGGUGAAACCUUAUCUCUUGGCUGGGCAUGGUGGUGCAUACCUGUGGUCCCAGCUACUCGGGAGGCUGAGGUGGGAGGAUCAAUUAAGCCUGGGAGGUUGAGGCUGCAGUGAGCCAUGAUCAUGCCGCUGCAUUCCAGCCUGAGCAACACAGCGAGACCUGCCUCAA